GUCACGAACUACUGUCUUCUUUCUGCAGAUAAACUUGAAUGCUACAGAGACAGCAACAGGAAUUAUCCCAGAAUAUGAACAGAUUCUCUUUACCAGCUGUUUGACCUGAUAAGGCAGAAGAUGCAUUGUGCCACUAACACAUGCCACUUUACUGGAUAUGAAUCAGGGUUUCAACUAAUUGUAUACCCCAAUUUCUUUGAGAAGGAGAUUGGUCUAGAGACAUGCUGGGCUCCCUUCUGAUCUGAACAAAUUCUGUCUGUAUGACCAAUAUUGUUGUAUGGGAUCUACGUAAUUGCAUCAUUGCUGUCAUCUAAGAAGCUGAAAGUUGAGUUGGCUGAAGAUAAAAGCUGAUGUCCUCAUAAUGAGUGAACAGCUAUAGGGUUUUUGCCUUCGCCCCGGGGGAAAAGGAAUUCUUCCUAAAAAGUUCUUCUUCUAAGAAGUUCUUCUUCUAAGUCUUCUUCCUAAGAAAGUUCUUCCUAAGACUCUUCACUGGGCGAGGUCUGAUGAGUUUAACAUCUACAGAGACUGGGAGUAGCCAGGUGACACACGGGAGAUAACGACCAUUAAUGGGCAUUAUUCCUGAACACCACCCCCUGGAGACACCUGGUCUGGGAAAAGAUGGAUAAGAGAACCAAAGAAUGAGGACCAAAUUAGCAUCGAAGGCGAAGGGCUCAAUAACCACUCUUUUGGACUUCUGCAUGACCUCGAGUUUGUUCACUCCUACUGCAGUUAUUGUUACAAACAAACAUCGCCAAAAUAUUUUGAAGGAAGUAUGCAGAUGUUUUGCAAGGACAAUUAUACACUGUCCACAGGGGAAACCACCUCAAGGUUUUAUCUGGAACCCUAAUGGUUUAGCUAAAACACUUUUCUGGAAGAGAAUACAGGACUCAUGGAAGACUGAGGUAAAUUAUUUCUCUGUUCCAGAACUGCUAGUCUUACCGCUGAAAUUGCAGAUAACAGCGGGUGUGUCUCAGUGCUGUUAAACUUCACUUUGUUUGGAAUGCUGGCAAUAAAAGGACUAUUUAAUUUACAUUUUUGGCCUUUUCUAACUUACUAUAACUGAAGAAUGACUUCCCAACGGCGUGUAGAAAGCAGUUAUCU
This is a long non-coding RNA of Onychostruthus taczanowskii (white-rumped snowfinch), 1101 nucleotides long. RefSeq lists it as uncharacterized. Lineage: Eukaryota; Metazoa; Chordata; Aves; Passeriformes; Passeridae. The transcript has 6 exons. The record is from RefSeq and is a predicted model, not a curated record.